This is a long non-coding RNA of Gasterosteus aculeatus aculeatus (three-spined stickleback), 27919 nucleotides long. The record is from Ensembl. Lineage: Eukaryota; Metazoa; Chordata; Actinopteri; Perciformes; Gasterosteidae.
AUAUAUAUAUAUAUAUAUAUAUAUAUAUAUAUAUGUACCAGGCAGCUAUACUUUAUUAGUGAAUUAGUGAGUAAACAUUGUUGGUUUGUGUCUGCCAGAGGGCCCAUUGUUUUUUUGACAUUUGGAUAUAUAACACAACCAGAUUUAACCCCAGAAUAAUUUAUUUGUAAAACAUAGGUUAUAUUAUGAAAAAGUAUAUAUCUUUGAUUUCUGGCAUUUUCACCUAUGAAUGUUAGUUGCCGUCUAAAACACACAUAUCAAUUACCUUUAGACACAUUAUUGCAUUUCUUACUAGAACGUGAGUGAGAUGUAACUUAUGGUGCAUCUUAGCUUCAGAUUGCAUCAUUUACCAAGUAGGAUCUCCCAACAUGGCCCAGAUAUCAGUUUCCUGCUACAGACAGGGGUGUCCCAACCGGAUUUACAUACAGCCCCAACAACACAGACACCCAGGCGUACCACAACGCCAAACACAAGCUCAAUAUUUCAUGGCCGUAUGAAAUAUGCCUUAAUGUGUGCACGGCAUCUGCCAUCUUUGUGGCUUUGCAGCCCCCAGGAGGCCCGUUUGAUCUGUAAUUGGGAAGUGUGCUGAAUUAAUCAGCAGUUUAUGCACUUUUUAAUUUAAACAUAUAUACACAUAUAACACAUAGAACCUUACAAUGUUAUCUUUUAUACUAUUGCCAGGUAACAUUUUGUUAAUAUGCAUACCAAACAUGUGUAGGUGUAGGUACUCUUUGUUUGUUUGUUUGGGGGCCUUGUUUUCUUAUUAAAUACUCAACGCAACGGCCAAAUUAUAAUUCACUAAUGUAAAAAUUCACAUUACACAAGUUUUUAAUACAUUUUUUAAUUUUGCGCACAACAAUGUGAACUAAACACACAUAGCACGACGCAAGGAAUAAGCAUCGGAAUGCAUUGCUGCUACAGGAAGUAAAACCUCAUAUGGAAUUUGUCUUCGAACCUCUGUGUAAUUUCCCCCUCUUGGUGAAACAGAUGUGAUUGGUCAAGCCACAGAUACCACAGGGACCCCUUUAUAGACAGCUUGUGUGUUAAAGAGCACAAACUGCUUUUGCGCUACCAAGAAACCCAACAGUCCUUAUGAUUGUAAUGGCAAAAAUAUAUGUAACCCUUCAAAUAUUUCAAUGUACGAACAUAUUUUCCCUUGUCUGAGCAAAAUCUUCCACCACAAUUUGGUGUGGGAUCGUUUGAAGUUCCGUCGGAACUCUAUGGUCGUCCGGACAAAUACCCCAUCAGUCUCCGAGAGAGGGGUCCAGUGACCAAAAGAGGCCUGAUUGACUUCAACACAAUCCAACCGAGGAAGAUUUUCACUCAAAUCAGGUAAGAAAUUGAUUUCAAACAGAGCAGAAAGUGUAUGUGCAUGUGAAGGGAGUGACCGGUGGAGAGGAAUGUCAGAGUUAGUCAGAGGGGGACCCGGGCUCGGUUGAUGAGCCCGCCUACAGACGGGAAGAAACUGUUUGUGUGGCGGGAGGUCUUAGUCCUGAUGGACCUCAGCCUCCUGCCAGAUGGAAGGGGCACAAACUGUUUUUGUCUGGGGUGAGAGGGGUCGGCUACGAUCUUUUUGGCUUGCUUCAGGGUCCUGCAAGCGAAUAAGUCCUGGAGGGUCCAGGUUGUUUUGGCUGCACUGCGUCACCAGAUGGUCAGACUCCCACCUGCAGGCGGACUCAUCCCCACCAGAGAUCAGUCCAAUGAGGGUGGUGUCAUCCGCAAACUUUAGGAGCUUGAUGGACUGGUGCUGGUGCUGCAGGAGCAGCUGUUGGUGUACAGGGAGAAGAGCAGAGGGGAAAGAAGCAGCCUUGGGGGGAACCGGUGCUGAUGGUCCGAGAGUCUGAGACAUGUUUCCCCAGCUUCACGUGCUGCUUCCUGUCAGACAGGAAGUCUGUGAUCCACUUGCAGGUGGAGUCGGGCACGUGCAGCUGAGAGAGUCUGUCCUGAAGCAGAGACGCGAUGAUGACGCUGAAAGCAGAGCUGAAGUCCACAAACAGGAUCCUGGCGUAGGUUCCUGGGGAGUCCAGAUGCUGGAGGAUGAAAUGGAGGGCCAUGUUGACAGCAUCGUCUACAGAUCUGUUGGCUCUGUAGGCGAACUGCAGGGGGUCAGGAGGGGGUUAGUGAGUGUUUUCAGGGGGCCAGGACUAGCUGUUCAAAAGACUUCAUGACUUCAGAGGUCAGGGCGACGGGCCUGUAGUCAUUGAGUCCUGUGAUCCUGGGCUUCUUGGGAACAGGUAUGAUGGUAGAGGUCUUGUCUUGAAGCAGGCUGUCUCCAGGGAGGUGUUAAAGAUGUCUGUGAACACCGUAGACAGCUGAUCAGCACAAUGCUUCAGGGGGGAGACGGAGUCCGGACCGGCUGCUUUGCGAGGGUUUUGUCUUUUAAAGAGCCUGUCUCUCUCCAGAAUAGAGAGGGUUGUUGCUGGUGAGGGGGAUGGAGGAGUGGAGGCUGAUACAGAGGCGUGAGCCUCUGAUCGGCGGGGGGAGGGAGGGGUGAGGGUCUGGGGCAGGAGAGUGGACCUGUGGGUAUGGAGUCAGGACAUUGACUAUCAAAUCUGCAGUAGAACCCGUUCAGCUCGUCUGCUAGGGGGAGGUCAUUCAUGGAGUGGGGGGAUUUUCGCUUGUAGUUUGUGAGGGGUUUAAGGCCUCUCCAAACUGAAGCAGAGACACUGAGAACAUGUUGUUGUUUCUCAGAGUACAGUCGUUUAGCUAACCGUGUAUUUUGACUCUGUGUACAAGUUUUGUCCCCACUCCUAAAUGCCUGAUCCUUCUGAAGUCGUAGUUUUCUGAGUUUAUCUGUGUCAUAACUACCCUGGUGCAUGAUGGUACAGAGCAAAUUUCUGUAUUCUCUUUCUGUUAAAUUGACUCUAUGAGAUUCAAAUGUAACUCUACGCUGGUGUUCAUAUUGCCCCAAUCUUGUCAGUGUUAAAUCAACUCAAAGUGUUAAAAAUUUAACUCGGAAUAGGAAUAUAAUAUAUUAUAUAAUAUAAUAAGAAAAUAAAUCUAAUCAAAUGUUAAAUACACUGUACGAGUUAAACCCAACACGAAGAAGUGUGACAGUGGUGUAGAAUUACAUUUCAAACCCAUCAAAGAGUCGAUUUAACUGUACUUUAAGUGUCAAAUAAAUCUAAAUAAUAAAUCUGAUCAGUGUUAAAUACUCUAUGCAGAGUUAAAAACCCAAGUCAUUGACACUGGGUUAUGACUCCAGCUCUUUCGUACAGUUGACUCUGUAACAGUUGAAUCAACUUUUUGCAGUGUGAGUUCAACACUGCACUUUUGCCAGAAAAAAACACCGGAAAAUGAACUCUAAGGAUUUUGCUGUGUACGCAGCUGUCCUCACAGAAGGUACUGUCUCUGUGAACUCAUCCAGACUGUUGGUAGCAGUCUUGCAAACAUCCCAGUCUGUACAGUCCAGGCAUGCCUGAAGAUCCUCCAGGUCUACUGGACUGGUUCACUUCUUGAAUUCCCUCACCACAGGUUUGCAGAGCUUUAGUUUCUGCCUGUAUGCAGGAAUCAAGUGGACCAUGAUGUGGUCAGAGUGUCCCAGCGUAGCACGAGGGACGGCGUGAUUUUUCCCCCAAUGCCCGAUUGACUUGAAAUUUGCAGAUCCUUUCAAAUCCUGGACAGAGUGGAUCUUUAUCUUUGACAUCCGGUACGAAGUUAAGCUGGACACGGGCCGGAUCUGAUCUUUGACCAUGAUACGUUCCGGAUCAGUUCCGCUCUGCUUCUGGAGCCUGCCCUGGACCGUUGUUGUGGAUCUGUUCUGGAGUUUAUGAUAUCUCCACGGCGGAUCCGGAGCGGAGUACUUUUGCUAUCUGGGAUACCGCAUGUUUCUUCUUUUCUUUAAAGCCGUAAAACUGUUUUUCCUUUUAGCCAUUACAUGUGUUGCGCAAUAGUUGAGAGCCUAGGGAGCUGAAAGCUAAACCAUUAAUCUAAUGUGAAAUUAUAGUGGUUCCCAUUUCACAUUUACCAUACCUGUGAUAAUACCUUCCUAAACAGCUCAAUAGACUCAGAUUGUGCCCAAAAAUCUCACAUUCACAAAAGAAGUUAUAGCAUCAAUACAAUUUCUGUUCAGCGGUACGUUGCGUUCAGAAUGAAAUGUGAUAUGUGUAAAAAUGUGUUUGUAUGACCGGAGCUUGUGCUGCUGUCUGUGGUAAAAAAAGGGAUAUUUACAGAAAAGUAAAAUCAGAUAUGGUUGCAACUGUGAGGAAUGACGAUGGCAGAAUAGCAAUACUGGAACAGAGUGGGGCUACAAUCCUCGACCGCAGCUAAAGCCACAUCUGGUAAAAGCUGAUCCCAAAUGCAAACAAAAUGACCCAUUGACGCUUAAAUUACACUUAAAAGAAACAUUUCUUGCCCAAUUCACUGGCAUAGACACAGGGUAAACUGAUACAAAUCUAUGGUUGAAUUACACAACCGCCAGCAUGCAAGACACUAAUCGCAUAUUUUCUGCCUGAAUCAAUCGGUUUUCACACAACAGUUGAUUAAGUUCACAGCAAGAAAAUACAUGCAAAGUACACAUUUUUGUGAAAAAAACAUACUUACCACAGCACCAGCACAAACUUCUCCUUGGAGGGGCUUGAAAACAUAAUGGUUACAUGACCACAAAUGUGUUCCGUUGCCUUGAUACAGUGGGUCUCUCACAUUACCCGAUGUCUCACACUACCCCGCUCUCCCCUAAUCUGAUAUUUCUUGUGGUAACGUUACAGAAUCUAACUAACAACAACUAACCCCAAAAGGAUGACAUCUUUGAUUUCCUCCAGUUUCUUCAAGAAGGUUUGUCUCAUAUAUCAUGCAUACAUUUGUAAACUACAAAUUUAUGCACUCAAAAAGCUUACAUAAUCUGUAUGAUAAUUUAAUGACAUUUCUUUUUAAUUUCUCUAUCUCUACCGACGGAGAAAAUUUGUCUGCAGGCUCAACAUCUCAGUGAAGGUGGGCUAAUCUUGACUGAUACAUCAGAUACUGAGGUCGAUGCAGACAUAUUUGAUGAGUCAGAAAAAGUCACAGGUCCAAAAAUUCAAGAUUGAUAAUUGGCAGUACAGUAACAGGUAUGGUUACUUAAUAAUGUCAAGGAGUUGAUUCACUCUUGGUCAAAUGUGCAUAAUAGUUUUAUCUAAAUAAUCUUUUUUAUUAAUCAGCAUAUGAAAAUGUAUAUUUUGUUCCUUUGUGCACCAGUUUUUAAACUUGUGGAUUAUUUUGUGUCAGAUGAACCCCAGACAUUGGUGUUCCCAGACCAUCAAGCAUCACAGCCCUCAUUGCUGCCGACCUAGCAUCACCAGCUUCCUCCAUUUCAUCAGAUUUCAAUAUUAUCCUCUCAUUCACAAAUAACAGAAAAAGGGGCCUGGCAGAGCUGGAUCCCAAUGAAGGACAGGUAAACUUUGAAACUAAGUUAAAAAAUAUUUUGAGUUUAAAGAUUUAUGUAUUUUAGCAGAAUUUAAUUAAACAAAGCCUACUGUCUAAAAUACAUUUUAAUUUACCUAAGAGUGAAGGUAAUUGGGGGAUUUUUUUCUCUUUUGCAGAAGGUUGCUACUGUUCUCAGAUCCAAUCCAAAGGGUGAAGAAAUCUUCAGAGUAUGACAAAACUAAAACGCUGUCAGAUGCAACACGUAGACAUGUGGUCAGAAAUGACACAAUCAUAUUUUUGUGUUUGACUUUUUUGUAUAUGUAUGUGUUUGCAUGCGUGAGCAGCAACAAUUCUAUGAUCCUACACAAGUAUAAUUGCUUGCACUGUUAACACACUGUACUUUGAUGAACACUUUAAUGCCUACAGUAUGGAGGAGCAAAGUAAUGAACAUGUUCUGAUUUGUAUUGACUCACUGAUGUAUGUUAAACCUUUUGAUAAGCAAUACUCUAAUGGCAGUGACAAAGCAUACAUUGUUCCAUAUUGUUGAAUGUUUUGAAAAGAUUUUUAACAUGUUGAUGUGAAGCACUAGUUUGAAAAUAAAUGUUAUAAAACAAAAAUUACACUUUUCCUUUAGCAAACCUUAAUUUCGAAGUAUUUUUUGUAAAGAGACAGAUGUAUACCUCCAUUGAGUUAAAAUGGGAGUGACACUAGUAGUUAACAAACCAUCCCUUAAGAGAGUUAAUUGUUAACACUACAAACAAGUGUUAGGAAAAAUGAACACUGCUUAGUGUUACAGAGAAUUGAAUUUAAACUGCCAAAAUAGUAAGAAUUAAGUGCCAACUCUCUAAAUAGAGUGAAAUCAAGACUUUGUGGUGUGGACCCUUAUACACUCUUCUAAAGUGUUAAAAAUCUAAUCUAACAGUGUUCAUUUGGCUCUGCCGAAGUAAAAAACGUAGAGGGCCGAGACAGUUUAACACAGUCUCACAGUCUGACCCACAGGGCGACUGAGUACAGUCGUCCUCCAAUCAAAGGGUUGGCAAUGAGUAUAUUCUUUUAGAUGGUGUGGAGGCUAAGCCAACGCUUUAAGCCACUGGAAACUUAAUUGACGCACCGCCGUUGUACCAUGACGGAUAAUUGAGAGUCCUGUAGCCUUUUUUGUUACGUUGCAAACGAGUCCAUUCAUUUGCCAACUUAUUCUUGUCAUACGUUUGACAUACAUUCAACCAGCGUGCGUUACAUGACACUACCCAGCGUGCAGUCAAAAACGUUAUUUUCUAUCCCGGCUGAAAACACCUGCCGAUCCCCCAAAGGUUCCUACCCUAUAUAGGCUGACCCACCCAUCAAUCAGAUCCCGACACACAUCAUAUUGGCUUAUACAGAUGUGUUUUGAGAAGACUACUGUAACAGACUCAGGAUGAGAGAGCCCGAUGACAGACUUGUGCAUGAGACGAACUAAGAAAAAUAGAAAUGAAUGACACAGGCAGACGUGUGGCUUCUUUUGUCACAAGCAAUGCAAUUUAUUUCCCAAUCUAAGUUGAAGCAAGCAUCUCCACAUGUCUACAUUUUUGCCUGACAACUUAGUUCAAAAAUACAAACAAUACAAAUUCACAAACCAAGCCAUAAAGGCUUGCAUGACUAUCAUGGAUUAAAUCCGUAUUUUUUUGUCAACAUAACCGUGACUUUGCACUUUGGCAAGGUGCCCACCAGUGCUGUAGUGGUAAAAUUAUAGGUGGGUAAACUCUUUUGUGAUCAUACAGACCUCGACGCAAUGCGAAGCAACGCAACACAAAGCGUUGCGACUCUGUAAGGCUGUCCUGGCUAUAUUGCAUUAUGUUAUCAGUAAAAGUCAUAUACAAUCAAUGACAAUGAAUAAAUGUGUUAGUAGUUUGUAGUUUAUUAAAUUUAAGAAAACAGUAAAGAAAAGUAUGUCAACACAACAACACAAUUGCAGAUUAAGAACUAUCUACAUACGGAGUGUCCUUUUUACAGUAGUGCCCAGAGGGCCUUCUUGUCCUUCACGUCAGGUCGUGCCUUGCACAGAGGAGCCAUGAACCCCAGAACACGCGUUCUGGGGUUCAUGGCUCCUCUGUGCUUCUCCUCUCUCUAUUGGACCUGGUGUUUCUCCUCUCCCUGUGCUCUCUGCAUCAUUGCCUGUCCUCUCACUGCCUGAAAAAAUAUGUUGAAUUUAAGAGUCAACCAGUUAAGCAGCCUGUCAAUUACACUGACAACAUAAGUUAAAGGAACACUCAUGUACUACCUAUGUUUUUUUCACAUUGAGAACUGACUUGUUUUCUAAUCUACGCGUCACCAGGCGUUUUUCUUGUCAUUUUACCGUGCACGACCAGCGAACACAGAGCACGCGACUACUACCCCCCCCGUCGGUCGUUCCGCCCGCAACGACUACUACACCCGAGGGAAAGGACUGUUAGAAUUCUCUUGCAGCCGCUUUGAAAAGUCACUUCAGACUUGGUCAGAGAAUUCUCUAUUUUGCGAAAUAUUCCACUGUUCGCAUUGUAUUUCACUUUAACUGUAUUCCUUAUCACUUUGUUCAGUUAUUAAAUAUUUUUAGAUUUUUAAAUGAGCAAGUUGACUCUUUCAAUUCUUCAUUUCCGACCGGGACGAGAACAAAAGAGUGAGGCCUCAUUUGAGGGUUUUCUGAACCCUUAACACACAAUAAUAACUGGAGUCGGGAUACAGGCACAUUGUUUAGUCCACAACUUUUCUUUUAACAUCUACCCUUCUCCCGUGACCAUUUUUCCAAUGAGUUGGUUGUUUUUCGUCAGCCCGUUGGAAAAGACAAUUACAAAAUGAUGCUAAUGUUGCUAAACACAAAGUUAUAAUAUAAUAGCCAUGCUACCAAAGGGGCCAAAAUCUUCUUAUGCAACUUUGUCAUAUUCUCAUUCUCAUUCUUUUCUCCCAGCACACAUGCUGCCAUCUAUCAAUAGCGUCAAAUAAGAAUGGAUUAUUCAAAAGGAUAACAGCAUAGAUCAAUGCUUCCUGAAAAUGUAGAUUGAGUUAAGUUCAAUGGUUGUGAGAUGUUCUGUUGCUGCACAGCCUUAGAGGUAUUUAUAGAUAAACAUGUUAAUACAGUACAUAAAAUGUGGCUUUCUGUUGCCUCUGAUGUUGCUAUAUUUUUAGUAAACGCAUCAAAUAGCAUGCUGUAAUAGCCAUAGCAGAUGUGAUAUAAUAAAUUGUUGCAGUGAAGAUCAAUGUCUGUGGCAAUAGACGAGGGAGGAAGUUUCAUUGUUCCUGCUCUCUGUGUUUCCACUGUUUUAGGCAGGUCCCAGGCAGCAUAUAUGACAAAUGGCAACCAUUCUGGAGUCACUAUUUGGUACUUGGCAUCACGGCAGACUGGGGGCCUUAGGCCAUCAGGUCUGAGAUGGCGGAUGUUCCCAGCGCACACCAAACGGUACCCCUAGGGGUCUCCACUCUGCCUAGAUGGAAAGGAGGCACAAUAAAUCAGGCCGUCUGGGAGGCUACGCUUUGCCUCGCUAUCCAUCUGAGCCCCCGCCCCAUGAUGGGAUGGACAGGGCAAUGGGUGUUGGGAGGCAAAGGGUGGGAGGGGUUCACAUACCUGGAGAGAGGGAGCGAGAGCUGCAGGGAGGCAUUUCAGGUCGGAGGUCUAUACCAGUCCAAUGACCCAGUAACACAGGAGCCAGGAAACACUGUGAAGAGGAGAACCACUAGAGAAUCUGCAUGGAGUCAGGGAAAGGAGCUACAGUGCAUUAGUAUUUUCUGUUCAAAAUAAAAAACUUUAGAUUAGGUCACCUUAAUUCAGAGUGACUGACAUGAUUAAUUGGUGUGCAUUCUAAAACAGAAAGUAUUUAUUUUUUCUUUGUACCCUUUUUUUGGAGCUAACCUAACUAACAUUUUUCAAGGAAGGUAGGAUUGGUAGAAAAAAUGUAAGUUUAAAGCAACAAAGCUGUGCAAAGCAGGCAACCAAACUUGCAAAUGGGCAGAUCUAAUACAAAAAUGAAUACAAUAUUUGUCUGUAUUUAUUUAUAAUCAUAUUCUGUUAUUGGAACAUUUUUAUUUAAUGUUGUUUUUUGAACAGAGAAAAUGAUUUAAUGAAGAUUAAAUGUUUGAGGGUCUAUAUACAUAUUUUUUUAUAUAUAUCUUUUUUUUAAAUCCAGACUCUUUUAUUGGUCGGGGAAACAGUGACGUGGAUCCUAGGCUCUGACCAAUAUGGAAAGGAGACAUAGGAUGUUUGUAACUUAAAGAAAUCCAUUAUAAUGCAACCUAGAAGCUAAACUUGGAGGUGUGCAGUGGCACAAGCUUUCAGCUAAUUUAUGAUAACGUGUUUGGCUGCUUGAGCCAGUCAAACACUGCAGCCAUAUGGGCCGGCAUCCACAGAAACGUCAAGUGAGCCGACGCUUAAAAUAUAAUUCACCCCUAUUCAUUGGGCUAUUGGGCUUUUACACCCCAAAAAGUAUGGCGACAGACCAAUAUUCAAAUUCAUAAAACAUUAUUUUAGUAUUUAUAAUAACAUAUGCAGUUACACUACUGUACUGUUUUUAAUGGCAGGUUUUUUGAUGGCUCACAAAACAGAGGGCUUUCCUCCUGGGGACUGCUGUAAUACCACAUUAACUCAAUAUUUUGUAGCUUUAACAUAGCCAUGUAGUUGAGUUGAAGUGUUUAUGUUUAGUUUGAAUUUACAAUGUUAACCAAAUGUUUCAAACUGUUUUAUACUCCCUCGGAACGUGAUUUUGUCGGAGACACUGCUGGAUAGAGGCAGUUUCUUUCUUUUUUUAUGUACUUGCCACAACAGUUGUAGUUGUAGUGUUGGUAGUCAAAGGGAGUUCCACUGGACUGAGGAGAGUCACACUGCUUCAAAGUGAAACAACUGCAGGGCAUGGUAUCUGAUACGAGCCUCCUCCUCCACCCUUCAAACAAUUCAAUCAGGAGGAGAGGGUGACUUCUCCUUUUCACUGCUGCUUUACUCUCUCCGGUGCAAACAAGAAAGAAAAAGUGCAAAAGUUCCCAUUACAGCCCGUCACACAUCUUAAACACCCUGCUCCAUCUCCCUCCAUCUCUCCUCCUGGGAGUCGAGAACCAGAAAAUGUGCCAAAAGCUACAGAAUAAAUAACAGAGAGGGGGUCGCUUCAAAUGGAUGCUAAUUUUACGAACACCCCCCAUCACAAGCCCGAGUCACCACUGCACCCCACCACCAACAACUUUGUUCACAUAUUGAUGCGUUCUGCAAUCAACUUCAAUGGCACCAGCCUUCUUGUGGGAAAAGAGAAGACGAUCAAGCCCUGGAAUGGUGGAAGAGGGAGAGAGCUAGAAUAUCAUAUAAAGAGGGAGGAAGUGAAACGGGGGUCCCAGAUUAUUUCUUCACUUGAGCCCAACUACUGCUUUCAUUAGCCCCCCCAUUAAUUAGCCUCCUUCAGCUCAUUUGCAAGUCAAUGGCUGUAGCUGUAGGACCGGCGGCUUUGAGCCACAGCGCCCCUGUGAUCUCUGGGUCCUGCAGCCCCUCCACCCCUCACACACUGGAUACAAGCCUUCCUGACAAUUAGUACAAAAGAGAUGCAUGCUCCAUAUAGCCAAUACAUAAUUCAUAUUUUCUCCUCACUUAAAUAAAUCAUAAUGUUCUUGAGGGUUUUACUUAAACAACAUGCUUUCUCUUCCGCUCUCUCCAAGCUACAGCUCACUCUCCUAGCUGUAAUCCAAAUUAAAUUGAUUUGCAAUGACCUUGCCCCAUAUGUGGGUCACUUCCUCAAUAGUGUGAGACAGCCAUAUCCCCCUCCCCCGCCCCCCGCCCAUCAUCAUUGGUCUGAGAAAAGAGGACAGUUUGUCCACUAGUCUACUCUCGCAUGUCAAAAAAGAUAGAUCAGACCCUUCUAAGAAUUUCUGAUUCAUCGAAACAGUGUCCCACUUCUAUUAUGCAGUGGGUUUUUACUUUUUUCUACCCCACAGACACUAGGGUUGAACGUCUUCCUGAGUUUUGACUGCUCCCUGAGAAAGCGAGCCAAUGCUUCGUCUGGAGGGUGGCGGGCCUCAAUGCCUCGUAUAUCAUCUGCACUGAUCUGUUAGCAGCGUUGUGCUGGACCAGAGCACAGCAGCUGUCUCAAUAAUUUAGCAGCCCUUUGUACUAUUAUUCAUCUGAUUGGCGGGAGGCAGUGUCCAGCUAGGGGCCUGCAUGUUUUAUGACCGCUUGAAGUCCAUUCAGACAAAGGUACCUCCAUGGAAUACUUACAAGAACCAUAUGUAUAUUGAUGGACAUGGCCAGAGAUUGAAUGUGACCAUCUUUAUUGUAGUUGGAAGAGGAGUUCCUAAAUUGUUUUUCUUGCUUUUUUUCUCUUGUUGACGAUGAUAUCAUUAAACAGGUGCUGUCAUAAUUCCUGCUGCAUUUGUCAUGUUAGUUAAUCCUACAAUGCCUGUUUAACUGUAAACUCAUCCAAUCAUUCACAAAGUUACACAGUGUGCUUCAAGAUACAUUAUCCUCCACUUUCUCCAUGCGAAUGAUGCAAUUCAUGCGAAUUGACCAGAAAUGGUCCCCCAAGAGUACGAUCUGAGGCUCCACGUAGACAUUGCCAGCCUGUCACUUGAGACCGGGUAAAAACAUUGCAAUUAGCAAGCAGAGAAUGUUUAUCUGUCAGCCCAAAGACAGGAUGGGAUGGCUUUGAGGAGAAGGAGGGGCGAAGUGGGGUGAUUGCACUGCCCCUUUUAACUGUGUACAGGCUAUUAGAGUAUUUCACAGAACUUAUUUUUAGAUACAAAAAGGGGAACGCCGUUUCUUUUACACCCCCCCCGCCUCCUCCCCUCUACCCAAUUAGCAAAAGAUUCCCCCUUCUUCAGCAUUUAUUACACCUAUUCAGUAUUCUGAAUGUGGCUAUCAGUUUUCCAUAACUAGGCUGCACAAAGAGCAAACGGUCCAUUUGGUGUGAUUUGUUUCCCCGCUUGACCACUUCUUUGUCUCGGCCGGGCUGGCUAAGCGCUGUAGAAUGGGGCACCCCUGCUGUUUUAUCAAGUCUACUGAAUCCGUAAUGAAAUAAGUGAGGGUGACAAUGACAGUGCAGGGAGGGGAAAUGGAAAUAAGAGCGGUAGACCGCCUUAUUUGAAUCAUUUAGGCAAGAUACAAUUACGACUGCACCCAACUGGAUGAAACAACCUAUUUUAAAGACAACACAAAUCAAUGAGCACAGCGAUGGUAAUGUGUUUGACAGAAGUGCCUGUUAGUGGUAGACGACUGCUCUGGAGGAUCAUUACACACCCUGUAGACAAUACAUUAUCACCAAAAGGGAGGAAUGAAAACAGAGCAGUGGGAUGCAAAGAUUGGCCACUGGGCCAUCUGUGUUAUGGCUUUUGGACAUUUUUUUUACAUCUUUCGAGUACUUAUAUAUACGCCUUUAGCCCCAUUGUAGACUAAAUCAAUAAAUGUUACUCUUUCCAAUGCAAGGGUGGAAUUGAGAGACAAUUGUCCACCACAAGAUAAUUUUUAAGUAGCAUUUUAUCAGCUAAUUUUAAAACAAUAAAAAGAAAAGUAAUUUUCAACCGAUUGCCGUUGGUUUCCUAGAGUGCAUUUCAGCAAUUUGUUAUUUACUUCUUAUCAUUUACAAAUACUUUUAUACCUGUAGUAUACUUUUGCAAAAAUAGAAUUAUGCUGCUCUUAACAAAUGAGACAACACUUGGCAUAAUGAGCUACUCUUUUUCUGAUUAAAACCACAUCUAUCACAAGUUCCUUGCACCAACUCUCGAGUGUCUUUGAGUUUGAUAAAAGGAUUAAAACUACUCCAGUCUCAUGGCACAAAAAGUCAACUGCCGGCCAGUCUACAGUCUAUUGAAUUGCCAUGGUAAUUAAACACGUUUUUGUAUAAUGUAUUAUUUAUUCAUGCAAAACGGUCCCCAGCAAUUUAGACAAAUAUCAAAGUCACCAGGACCAAAAUGCUGCUGUUGGUUAUAAAGCACUGAAUGGUUCAGGGCCACAGUACAUUUCUGAUCUGCUGAUAUUUUAUGAACUGCCACGGACCGGUCGUUUGGGACAGGUCUACUUCCUGUUCCCAUAGUCGGAUCUAAACAUGGAGGUUUUCUGCUCCAAAUAUCUGGAAAGUCCCAGAAAGCUGCAGGUCUGCUGAGUUGCCCAGCUCUUAUAAAUCCACAUUUAAGAUUUUUGUAUUUGCCUUUACUUGACCAUUUCUGCCAUUUGGAAUUCUUAAGCUACACUGCAAAUUCUAUUCUAUUUUUAUUCUAUUCUAUUUUUAAACGUCUAAUUUCAUAUUUUGAAUGACUUUUUUUAAUGUUUCAAUCAAUGUUCUUAACUUUUUGUAAAUCUCCCCUCUUUGUGUGUUGUUUUUUUCACAUGGUUUUAUGUGAAGCACUUUGAAUUACCUUGUUGUUGAAAUGUGUUGAAAUAAAAUUGCCUUUCCAACAUAUUAUAUGAGGAUGGGAUAAUUCUGUCAUUAAAACCUCUUUGUUUUAUUUAACAAAAUAAGUUACGUUUAUUUGGUUUAUCCAAUCCAUGCCAAAAGUCCCCAUGAGUAUUGAGUUGGAAGAAAGAGAGGGAAGAUGAAAUAAGGUUGCCUAUAUCUGAUUUGCGGGAUUUAGGUUUUCCAGUCAGUUAGUCUCCACAUUAGAUGAGCUCUAGUAUCAGCCAAGCCCAGUGUUAGAUAUUACUCUGACUGAGCAUGGCACCUCUGGGACAUGCAUGUCAAGCACCAAUGCUUUUCCCCUUUCAUUCUCUCUUUGCGUGUUUUUUCUCCCUCUCUGUCUCUCUCUCUGCCUGGGGAGGAGGCCAUCUGGUGUAUGUUGGUGGAGCCAGCCACGCUAACUGGAGUUGGUGCGGACCAGCCAGCCUGUGUACUGGAACAAAACUCAUUUUGUAUAUAGCCUUGUUUUGGCCACAGAGCGUCGUUGAUCCCCCUCAGCAGAACAUUUUACAUUUGGAACACUCCUCAUUUGCACUUGUACAGACGAGUUGCACAGCGGCCGAGGAGUGGCAUCAUGAAUAAAAUUAUCAUAGCAAAAUAUCAGCGGUGAAAUGAUCGGUGUGUGUGUGUUUGUCGCCCUCCUUCUCUUGCGGAGGGGGGAGAGGAGAAAGUAGACAGUGGGGAUUGAAAAGCAACCGUGAGAACUUGUCAGACAAAAUUAGAGUGAGUGUCUGGGCCGUGGACUCGCUCUGUGGAAAACAAAUAGAGACCCCCAGAUUGUAAUCUCUCUAUCAGUUUUUGGCUCACUUUUUCCACUCUCCAGUGAUAUCCAAUCAAGCUGCCCAGUCAACAUUGGGGUUAUCUUCCGGUGACAUGCCUCCUAAAGGCGGAGCUCAGUAUAUGCAUAUAUUGAAGUUCAGCCCUUUAUAUUUGGCUAUUUCCAGGGCGAGCCUUCUCUGUACCUGAGGCUCUGGCUCUCUAUGGAGGAUCAUUGCUGGCCAUUGGAGCACCAUGCAGGUCCACCCCUCAUCUAUCAGUGACACUUCUGGCUGACAGAGCACUUAUUCAUGCUCACUCAUGAAUAUUCAAUUAACUCCUUCAAGGGUACAAAAAGACAUAUCUAUACACAGGAGAGAAGAAAGCCAUCCCUUUCUCUGUUUGCUUCUUCUUGCAUCUAGCUGUAUCUCUCUUUUUUUCCCACUCUUCUUCCUUUGCCAACCUCUUUAUACACGUACAACUCUUAAAAAUUGGAAGCAAUAUGCAGUACUUAAUUUCAUGCACAUUUUUCAUUAGAGGUGUCGACCAGCAUUACGUUUUUCCCUGACACUUGAGCAAGCCAACACAAUCCUGCACCGUUUGCGCAAAAGAAAAAUCCCAUUUGUCCUUUGUCAGCACAAACACUUUAAUUUGAGGCUUUCACUCCUGAGUAAGCAGCAGAUCUCCUCAGAAGCCUGGAGAGACACAGGAAACGCAUGUGGGUCCUUCAAUCUCUCCCUCAUCAGCAGAGGCCCACUUCAUCCUGCAUGGCCUCCAUGUUUUUAUCAGUCAGCGGGGGCAUGCAUAAGUCAGAAGGAGGGGGAAAGUGCAGGUGUGUCAGCAUAUAAAUAGCCGACACGACCAGCAGUCACUGUGUUGUUGUGAAGUCUUGAAAUGCUGCCUCGCUAGAAAAUCAUUGUUUUCUGAAUUCACGGUAACACAGGAUGACGCACUCCAGGGGUCCCAAAACUGGGAAUUGGUGUAUUCGCACUUCUGAUUCUCUCAAAGUUUGAAUUUUUAAUCUAGUGGCUAAAUUAAACUACCCAACAGCACCACUAGACCACCGGUCUGCCUUUAGCUUAGUGGUGAAGUAAAGUCAUGUGACGUGUUUUAGCCGAUUUACACAUAAAAUGCUAUUGCCAUUGACAGGUCGACUUGGCCUUGUGUUUUGGACCGUUGCCUAAUUAAGACAUGCUGCAUUCAUCUUGCCAUUCAUUUUGACCAAGUUCCCUGUGCCUUUGUAGCCCACACAUCCCCAAAACAUCAGCGAUCCACCUCCAUGUUUCACAGUAGGAAUGGUGUACCUUUCAUCAUAGGCCUCUCCAAAUGUAACGUUUAUGGUUGUGAUCAAAAAGUUCAAUAUUGGUCUCAUCACUCCAAAUGACUUUGCUCCAGACGUAUUGAGGCUUGUCUCUCUGCUGUUUGGCGUAUUGUAAGCGGGAUACUUUGUGGCAUUUGCGUAGUAAUGGCUUUCUUCUGGCAACCUGACCAUGCAACCCAUUAUUGUGCAUCUUGAAACUGCCACACCACAUUUUUUCUGAGAGUCCUGUAUUUCAGCUGAAGUUAUUUGUGGGUUUUGCUUUGUAUUCCGAACAAUUUCUGGCAGUUACGGCUGAAAUUUUGGUUGGUCUACCUGACCGUGGUUUGGUUUCAAGAGAAUCCCUAAUUUUCCACUUCUUAAUUAGUUUGAACAGUGCUGAUUGGCAUUCUCAAUUCCCUGGAUGUCUUUAUAUAUCCCUUCCCUGUUUUAUACAGUUCAAUUACCUUUUUCCACAGAUCCUUUGACAAUUCUUUUGCUUUCCCCAUGACUCAGAAUCCAGAAACAUCAGUGCAUCACUGGAUGAAAGGCGUAAGGGUCUGUGAGGCGCCCAGAAACUCACUGACCUUUUAUACACACACAAUGAUUACAAGCAAACAGAUCACAGGUGCGGAUGGUUACCUUUAGUAGCCAUUCAAACCUGUUUGCGUGCAUGUUAUCAGGCCAAAAUCACCAGGGUAUGUAAACUUUUGAUCGGGGUCAUUUGGGUAGUUUCUGGCAUCAUUAUGAUUUUAAAAGAGUAAAUACGGUUGAAUGAUAAUACAUGGCUUUACCCAACCACUACCCAUAAGUGAAAGUGUAAUUUUGCCAGGGUAUGUAAACUUAUGAGCACAACUGUAUAUAAAUGUAAAUUAAAUUGAAAUAACACAUUGUUAGCACGCAGAAAAAUAACAGUAACAUAAUGACGAACUAUGAAACUGAACUAAGUUUGUCCGUUUAACUAUCCGAAAGUUAAACAUUAGGUUAUUACCUAAUGUGGUCACUUCCUGACAAUGUUGCCAUACUGUGGGCCGUACAGAUACUAAUGACAUUGGUUGAAAAGAAACCGAGGGGGUUAUGUGGAUGUUGUAAAAAAUUACUUACAAUUCAUCCCUUAAAAAAAUAAGAAGUCUGUAGGAAGAGUCUGAGUUUAUUUAAAUACACCUCUGCGGGAAUGAAAGGCCAUUUGGGGGACUGACACUCAAGGGUUUAAUCCAGUCAGUAGCUAUAUGUGAAAGUAGAAAGCAUCUCUCUAGCUCUCUUCUUUAUCCCUCGCAUAACUAUACUUCUGUUUACCUACUAAGUGUUCAGUGAGUAGAACACCAUGAACGCCUUUCGUGAGUGGCUUUAUGACAGUGUGCACCACUAUCCCUAUUUGUGGAAUUACUGUCACUGAGAGGUCAACAUUUCUUGGAAGGAGAUCAGGGAUGCAGAGGCUUUGACAGCUAAUGUUUGGGCUGUCAACAUAAACGUAUUGAUCUAUGCAAUUAAUGUGGCCGACAAAAUAUUUUAAAGUAGUUAACGUACGUUUGUUUACUUCCGAGACCGGGAAUAAGCCGGAAAAUGACCACGGAAACGAAACGGCCGCUAGCUGCAGUCAGUUACAUUAAAAUUGAGAGAGCUUUUAAGUAAAACAAACAGAGGUGCAACAUACAGCCUGAGAACUGUGCAGAGGAUUUACUCCACGUGUCAAAUAGAAGGGAGGUGAGUGACAAAUGGACCACUUGAAGCACUGCUAUGUUAACCUCGCUGCUAGGCUAAGCUAACUUCUAGGCUGCUUUCAUCUCAACAGCUAAUGUUACCCUGCACGGCACACAGUCUGCAGAAGACCACUGUGUCCCUACAAGACCGUGGUUUGAAAACGUCCAGGCCAAAUGUAACAGCCACAGCCUUCAACGUAUGGAGAGUUGAGCAAAGUGCACAAGGACCACAGGAAGUUGUUAGUUCAACGUAUUCCACCUGGUGGAAUUCUGCCUCCAAGAUGAUCAAAUGUGUGUAGUUUUCUGUUUAAAAUCCAUCCAUCCAUCCACACAGGGUCGCGGGGGGGCUGGAGUCCAUCCCAGCCAACUUCAGGCGAUAGACAGGGUACAUCCUGGAUUGGUCGCCAGCCAAUCGCAGGGCUACACAGAGACAUACAACCAUUCACACUCACAUUCACACAUCUACGGGCAAUUUAAAGUCCCCAAUUAACCUGAUUCCCAGAGCAUGUCUUUGGACUGUGGGAGGAAGCCGGAGAACCCGGAGAGAACCCACGCAGACACAGGGAGAACAUGCAGACUCCACACAGAAAGGCCACUGGGCGGAGUGGAACCCAGGACCUUCUUGCUGUGAGGCAACAGUGCUAACCACCACGCCACCGUGCCGCCCCUCUGUUUAAAAUAACAUUAACAAUUAAACAACAGUGUCUGAAAUACACGUUUUCUAAAAUUAUUUCUCAUUAGAUUAGAAGAUUUAGUCUUCAGAAGUAAAACAAACAUUCAUUAAAAACAACAUUGUAACAACAAUAACAUUGAUUUUCGCCAUUAAUCAAGAUCUAUGGAUUUAAAAAUCUGCGAUUAAUUUGUUCUUUUUUUUAAUUUAAUUAAUUAAUUACCUAAUCUGCAGAGCUAUUGUAUCGCGUAUUGUAAUGUAUCGUGUGAAAACCUUACCUUAAACCGUAAAACCUUGACAAUAUAAGUUUUAGUAGGGUGGUGCUGUCGGAAGUCGGACUGGAAGGCAUUGAAAUCAUUAUUUGCGGCCAAGAAGUAGUUUAGCUGUUGAAAAACUGCCUUUUCAAUUAUUUCACUUAAAAAAGGCAGGUUUGCUCAUUUUCCAUUUUUGCGACUUCUAAAUUACCCUUCUAGGAGUUGUUUAAUUACAGUUAACAGUUUUUUGGGGCUUUGGGAAGACACCGGAGAGGAGGGAUGUGUUUACAAAUUGUAAGAGAUAGGUGGUCAUGGAGUUUGAAGUAAUUUUGAAAAAGUCUGUUAGAAGAAUACCUAAGCAGCAGGAAUAUGACUUGAGAUGUUGUAUAAUGUCAUCUAGGCCUGUAUGGUUGAUUGAGUUAAUUUGUGUCAUGGUGUUUGAACAGAUGUUAUUUAGUGUGUGGCAGCCUCAGUCAGAAGGUACUAAUUAAUUUGCACAGCUUUGGAUCCCCGUACUGUUGAAACCAUACCUUGCAUUCAGUUUAUUGGUCCUUUAAAAAUCCAUCCAACAUUUAAGGUGACUGUUUUGUUAAAGCACCUUGUGACGAGCAGGUGAUUUGAGUCUUACUUGUGUUUCUGAUGAUCAGUGUGUGUAGCGCUUUAGGUGUGGUGAGGACUCAAUUAGGGUUUUUUUUUGCUGUGGAUUGCAUUGUUGAUUGCAAAACUGGGGCAAUGAGCAUGGGGUUAGUGCAGACCUCUGUUCUCAUAAUUGCACAUCUGUUUUCCGUUGUUUGCUCUUGUAAUUGCCUCCAUCUGAGUCAUCUCUAUAGAGGCUGACUGCAGGUGACUGCAGGUAAAACAGAUUUGGAGGGACAACUGGCAAGGAUGUUUUGACAAAUUCUCGUGGGCACACACAUGCAGUGAGUGUAUACAUAUGGAAUACACUUUCUACACAGUACUUUGUCCUACACUUGAGCAUCAUCUAGUGGUGGAAGAGAGUCUGGCAUACAUCAGAAAGAAUGCCUCAAAGGACUUUGCAGGAUGGGUUGUUGGUUAGAUAUAAGACUUCAAGGACUGCCUUUUUUCAUCUACGUAACAUCAAAAAUCAGGAACUUCCUGUCUCCUGCCGCACAUGCUCCGCCCAGGUGGUGCUGUGGAUAAUGACGUCGUCCAGGUAGGCGGCAGCAUAUGCAGCGUGCGGACGCAGCACCCGGUCCAUGAGGCGCUGAAACGUGGCCCGGGGCCCCAAACAACCCGAAGGGAAGCGUGGUAAAUUGGUACAAACCGUAUGGGGUGGAGAAUGCCGUUUUCUCCUUGGACUCUGGCGACAGAGGAAUCUGCCAGUAGCCCUUGGUUAAAUCCAGUGUCAUGAAGAAACAUGCAGUGCCUAGCCGGUCCAGGAGUUCGUCGACCCGGGGCAUUGGGUAGGCAUCGAACCGUGACACGUCAUUCGCCCUCCGAUAGUCCACGCAGAACCGUACAGAUCCAUCCUUCUUAGCCACAAGGACAAUGGGGCUGCACCAGGCACGGUUGGACUCUUCUAUUACCCCCAACUCCAAUAUACUCGCUAAUUCCCUCCGAAGCACUUCUUUCCUGUGUUCGGGCAACCUGUAGGGCCGUGACCUCACCGUCACGCCCGGGGGCGUCUCGAUACUGUGCACUAUAAAGUCGGUCCGGCCUGGCAAGGGAGAGAACACAUUAGCAAACCUGCAACCUGGCAACGUCCGCCCUCUGGCUCUCGGAGAGACGAGCCUCUCGAAAGAGCAAGGUAUGAUUACCUGCUUUUGGAACCUCCGGCCCCAGCUCCUCCCUUUCCGAUGCCGUAGAGACCAGAGAGACGGACUCCACCCCACUCCAGGCUUUCAGGAGGUUCAGGCGGUAUAUCGGUGUACCCCGCCCCUGUCAGACUGCACCACCUCGUAGUCGACGUCCCCGACCUGCCGUGUGACCUCAAAGGGCCCUUGCCACUUGGCUAGGAGUUUAGAGUUGAGUGUAUAAAGUAAUACAAGUACCUUUUCUCCCGGUGUGAAUCGUCGCAGCCUGGCCCCUCUGUCGUACAGCCGUUGUUGUCGCUCUUGGGCCUGCAGCAAAUUCUCUUGUGACAUUCGGCCCAGUGUGUGGAAUUUUGCUCGCAGGUCCAGGACGUACUGGAUCUCAUUCUUGCAGGGGUUUGGACCUUCCUCCCAGCUUUCUUUAACCAGGUCCAGCACCCCUCACGGCAUCCUGCCAAACAAAAGUUCAAAGGGAGAAAAAUUCCCGUGGAGGCCUCGGGGACCUCCCGCACUGCAAACAACAGAGGGUCAAGCCAGUGGUCCCAGGGCAUACUGGAUCUCAUUCUUGCAGGGGCUUGGACCUUCCUCCCAGCUUUCUUUAACCAGGUCCAGCACCCCUCACGGCAUCCUGCCAAACAAAAGUUCAAAAGGGAGAAAAUCCCGUGGAGGCCAAACAGAGGGUCAAGCCAGUGGUCCCAAUUACGUUCAUCUUUGCUAAUAAAUUUACGGAUCAUGAACUUCAGAGUCUUAUUCAUACUGUGACGGGGUGAAGAAGGACACAACACGAGGGUCACAGUGAGUACCCCGAAUGGUGGAUUUUAUUUAGUGGCUCUCCUUCUUCCUCUCUGUGCGCGGUGGUGUGUGGGUCCGUGAAGUCCGUGGGGAGACGUGGGCUCGCGGUCACGCACUGCUGUCUGGGGAAAUAACAAAGGUAAUGUUAGCCGAGGCUUGGACAUCUUCCCCCUCUGUGUGUGGCUGUGAGGCUUAUCAAGCCAGCCUCUGAUCAGGCGCAGGUGUGGCCGCUCAGCCCGUGAUGAGCGGGUGCAGGUGUGUCUGCUCCGUUUCCCGGGAGACGCUGACGACAGCUCAGGACAUUUUGUCACAAUACACUCCACCAGCCCAUCCGUCUGCGGGUGAUACACGCUAGUACGAAUGGACUUAAUGCCCAGUAACCCGUAAAGUUCUCUCAGUGUGCGCGACAUGAACAAGGUGCCCUGGUGAGUCAGAAUCUCCUCAGGGAUUCCAACUCGGGAGAUGACCUGAAACAGAGCCUGCGCGACGCUCUUUGCAGAGAUAUUGCGCAGCAGCACUGCCUCCGGAUAUCGCAUUGCGUAAUCCAUGAGGACCAACACAAAGCCAUAUCCGCGUGCGCUCCGGGAAAACGGCCCAAUGAGGUCUAUGCCGAUCUGCUCGUACGGAACCUCCACCAACGGCAAAGGACGCAACGGCACCCUCGGAAUGGGCGGAGCGUUCACUAACUGACACUUGGGCGGGACGCGCACCGGCGGCUGCCUGGCCAAUAAAAUCGGGUCAUUAUCCGGUCUAGCGUUUUUUCGUAUCCCAUGUGACCAGCCAUCAGGUUAUAGUGAGCCACCUGGAAAAUCAUUUCCCGGCGGCUUUUCGGCACCAGCAACUGAGUGUUUUCCUGCCCCGUCCGAGUGUCACGACUCACUCUAUACAGUCUGUCCCUAAUCAAUGAAAAGUGCGGAAAUGACUGCGCUGCGUCAGGGCGCACCAGGUGACCAUCAAUACGUAUCACAUGGUCCGCUCCGCGGGUUCCCCCUCCCCGUCUGCAGUGUCGGACGACCCCGCGUCACCGCUGAGCACAGCACACAUCUCGCAUAACCCUGUUGGUCGUGAACGCCCCCCCAUUAGCUUAUCAAACCCCGACCAAUCUGUACCCAAAAUGACGGGGUGCGUCAGGCGGGAGCUAACCGCGACCUUUAUUCUAUGCUUUUUCCCUGUAUAUCUAAUUUCCACCAAUACCACAGGAUACUCGUGAACAUCCCCAUGCACACAGCGUAUUCUCACCCGGUCUGCCUCCACCAAUGCUCCCUGCCGAACCAGGCUCUGGUGAAUCAUAGACUGCGUGCAGCCCGAAUCUACCAUCACCUGGCGUGUACCCCCCUGGAUUCUUAGCGGAACGCGGUACGUCGCUCCCGGACCGGGGGAGGGUGCCGGAACGCCGGCCACUCGGAUCGCCUGUCCCACCUCCAUCAGCGGGCACUCUCUCCGGAGGUGACCAAGCCGCCCGCACCUCCAACACUCCUGCCCCGGCGCUUGAGAACCUCUCUGUGAGUUGAGAAGGGUGCCUGGGUUCCCCGGGGCCGGUGGGUCGCGGGCUGGGGAAAAAGGUGCCUGUCGCAGAGCCAGUCUGGGUUGCUCCUCCGUCCGCGGCAGCCUCCCUCCCCGCGGCGCAGCUCCUGGUCGGGCAGACACCGGCGAACUCUCCCGGUCCCUCUGCCCGCUGGGAUGCCCCGCCAGAUGGUCCUCUGCCAGGGUGAUGGCCGCCUCCAGGGUCGUUGGACGGUGGCACCGGAGCCACGCCGGCGUCCGGGCCGAGAGCCCCCCGAGAGCCGGGCUCCCCGAACUGCUCCAGCACCACCCGCGCAAUCACCCCUUGGACCCCCCGAGCGCCGUCCGGCUGCAGCCACCUCGUGGCGGCGUCUAUCAGCCACUGGCCCAACGCGAACAGGGCGGUCCCGCGGCCCCAGCCUGGCCUCCCGGAACCGCCGGCGUGGUUCUCCGGCGACAGCCCCAGCCUGUCCGUCACGGCCUUUUUGACGUUGCCAUAAUCGCGCCGCGCCGCCGGUGGCAGCCCCAUAGCCGCGGUCUGCGCCUCCCCAGCCAGGAGAGGCAAAAGCCGGACCGACCACUCCCCCGCCGGCCAACCGCAAGCCUCCGCCGUCGCCUCGAAGGCCUCCAGGCACGCCUGUACGCCGUCGUCCCCCGCCAUUCAGUGGAGCGUGAGACCGGCGAACGCCGCGGGCUCCUGCGCUGGCGGCACGGACUGCGGUCAGCUGCUCCAGCGCCUGUCUCCCCACCUGUGCCUGGAGCGCCGCCAGGAACAGCCGGUUGGCCUCUGUCUGCUCCCGUUGGAUGGCCGCCAGUUCCCUGAUCAUGUGGCCGAGCGCCACAAUCGGCUGGGCCGGUAUCCCCUGCUGGUGGUUGCCAUCGGUCAGUUCCAUCCGCCAGUCACGUUGGGCGCCACUGUCACGUGCGGUCCUCUUGGGGGGAUGGGAAAUGAUGAGGAGACAGCGUACUGGUUUAGCAACAGUCUUUAUUGAACCGUUUUUGGACAGCACACACGAUCGGCUUCAUAGAGCCCAAUGUUGAACCUUUACCUGAUGAAACCUGACAUUUUACCUGCCUUUUAUAGUCAUGUAUGCUAUAUCAGAAUGAUAUUAAAAACGAUCAUAUAGAGACAGUAACGGUACAAUAUUGGAACAAAGUAAUGUAUUGGUGUGAACCCUGUUGUGUUGCUGCAUGAACUCAGGGGUUGACUCAGCUUAGUAAUGUCUCACUCGAGCUGAAGCUCUGUCCAAAGAGGACAACAGACCCGUCCCUCCGCCCUUCUUCCCUCUGUCUUUCCCUUUCUUUUUGUUUCCUAUAUUAUUUAUAUGACCGCUUUAAAAGGCGGUCUCCGUAGCGACCCUGGGACCCCUGCUGCUGUCGACCAGGUCCUCAGUAGCGUGCCUGAUUGAUGGCCAUGGGGCGGCCAUAAAGACUAUCUGCUGUUGCCAGAUUAGGCCAGACAAAUGCUAGGAAUGUUUGUUUGCAAGAGAGCAUUUGGGACUCAUUUUCUGCACUCAAAUUUACAGAACCAGCCCAUCCUCAUAUAACAGUUUGUAUCACAUCUUACUCAAUUCAAACAAAAGUUAUUCAUUUUUCGUGGGUUAUCCUACAGCAACACGUCUCGAUUCCCAUGCAUAUUGUCUUUUCGGGAAGCUUAGUUAGCAAUACCAUGAUAGGUUUAGUAAAACUUUGGGUGGUAAAAGUAACUACAUGAGUGGGGUUAUUUUAGCAAAGAGGUAAUGUGAAUAAAUCAAUGUUUACUUCUUGUUUCACGAGGGGAGCAAAUAGCAGUCUUCUGGUUGAAGGGUUUUCAUAGUUUUCUAUGCGAUGAAGCGAGGUGGAAUUCAUAUUUGAUAAUAUCAACGUAACAAUUACAACAUUAUGAAACAUAUGUAGAAUUCAAUCCGAAAGUAUUUAUAGAAAUCUCGAUUUGUUUCUAAUUAUUGCAUUUUAUGAUUAUGUCACUGCACUGUGACACUGUUACUAGAGUAGUCAACUUUUCUCAUGCUCAUUCUGCCUUCAUGCAAUUGACGACAAAUAAAAAUGUGGGGUAGGGGAGGUCACAGUGUUUCUGUUCCGUCCAUGGAUACUGCUGAGCCUGUUCUUCUGGGAAAAGCCUUCAUCGGGCUCCACAUGUAGGUCACCGGGCUUUUGUGGGCAAUGAUGCGAGAGACCACCAAGUGUUUGACGUUUCCAUACCAGUCUUACAAUCCCCAGGUUGUCAUGGAAAUACACUGGGUGGCAGUAGCAGUGAAGUUACAGUGGAGGAAAGAGCAGGCAAAGGGAGGAGGGCAAUUAGCCCGCACUCUUUUGUAAGUUUCUGCUCACUUUGGCCAAGGCUGUUGAUGAAGAGAGAUCUGACUAAUCUGAGUGUUUGUUGACUUCUGGCAAGAAACAGGACGCAUAUGAGCAAGUUGUCAUAGUCUCCUCAGGGUCUGCAAGUCUUCCCUUUGGCCAAAACACAUGAGUUAAUAGAUGUUUUAUAUGGCUUUACCUACUGAGAAUGCCUGAAAAACUAGAAUUUCUGACGUGAAUUCCCCUGAAGGCUCUGUGAGGUAAAGGCAGUUUGCAGAGUGUGGUGUUGACUCAGAGCCAGUGAAAGAGCGUGUGAGUGUGAUCGUGUAAAGAAACACUCUGCCCCUUCACUCCAGCCUCAAGAUAUACUGCUGUUAAUGUACAUAUGAUAAGAGAAUAGGCAAUAAUGCACCCAAGCAUGUUUGAGCCAGCAGAUCAAGAACACAUUGGGAAGAUUCACAACAGACAUUUUUCAAAUGUUUCAAGUAGUUACGUAGGUCAGUGUUACGUCAACAUGUUAUGUGAACGUGUUGCUCUGGGAUGCACAGGGAUAUGCCUGCAAUUCUGUUGACUGCCAGUGUUCAUGACCGGUAACUCGAUUAUAAUUGACCGCGUUAUAGCACCCGUAUUCACCAGCUGUCAGCUUUACAAGAAGUUUACUAUUCCACAAGCAGCGUUAGUGGUUGCUUCCAUUUCUUCCUUUUCACAAGAUUUCCAAACUCUUUUCCAGAAAUGUAUUUGGUAGGGUAUUGACUUUUUGUCAUUCAGAUAGGUAUAUAUUAAAUUACACAGACUCAAAUGAUCCUAUGGUCACACCUGUAAUAGCUCAUUUUGUGGGUAGAAGAAACAAGUUUUUAACUUCCAACAAUCAGUGGGUCACCAAACUUUUGUUGAAAGCAUUUUAAAACAUGCCCUAUGAAUUUAAAAUUGAUCGAUAUAUAUUUCUCUUUCUCUAUAUAAAAACAGAAUAAAAAUAAAAAUUUGAGUAGUGCAAAGUCUUUUGGCUAUUGGAUCUCCGUCCUGAAGAUAAUCAAUUACUAUUCCCCUUGGAGUCCAGACCCUGGAGUCGUGGUGAUGAAUGAGCAGCAUGACCGGGAUGGUGAGCGCAGGUGAGUGGUGGAGGAGGCUCACAUCCGAUCCGGUUAAAAUUACAACUGACAGGAAAACAUUUCUUUAAAGUUUGACAGAAAUGGUGUGAAUGGCUUAUGGAAACUGCCGCAGCUGUUUGGUGAGAGUAAGACUGAUGGAUUCAACUUAAGCUUCAUUAUUUCCAUUUUAUAUGACUUCAUACUGCAACUUUUCUCUUAUUUACGGGAAAGACCGGUGGGUUUCCAGAUUUUAACAUAUAAAGAUCACAUUUUUUGUUGCCUGAUUUAUUAUUAUUAUGUCCUGAGUUCCUUUACUUCAGUAAAAGUAGAAGUAUAUAUAAAUAUUUUGUUACCAGUAAAGAUCGCAGCGAAAUGUCACGUGUCAUAGGAUGCUUUCCUUAUUGCUAAAGGCUUUACAUCUUUAAAAGCCGCAUUUGAAUGUUUCAUCUGCUUAAGGUGUAGCUGAUAUGAACUUCUACAUUGUUUGGUAGUGUAACAAGCGUUCAUCAUUUUUUAAGCUGAUUGUAUAUUAUAUAUUUUGUAUUUUUACUCAUACAAAAAAAUCAACUCCAAAGCAAGAAAACAGAAAUGAUUUCUCUCUUUCCCGUUCGCCCACGUGCCAACGUAAUAAAAAUAAGAAGCAGAAUUGGAGAAAUGAAUUCCACAUACUUUGAUUAUCCAGUCCACUGCAGUGGUCAGGAUAUUUUACAGAACAGCCAUCGAAACAUCUGCCAUUUAUGUAAUAAGCUAUUUGUAACAUUACAUUUGCAAUAGGUCUAACAGAAGAGUAAUGUAAACAUGCCAAUGUGAGCCAUUGGUGUUCAUAAAAGAACACACAAAGACAGGAACAUUAGUAGGAUCACUACUGUCGGCUGUCGACGAGCUUUUACUUUCUACUUUUUUUACGAGAGCUGAUAGAAUACUAGUGUUGUUUUGAUAAACUUGUAGUUUUUCUUACAAAUACGCUAUCAUCAUGGAUAUCACCAGAAAUAAGUGAAAAAAGUUUGUGUACUAUAAGUGAAUGUAUAUAUCUAUAGCCUUGCACAGCAUGUUACUGCUUUGCACUAUUCCAAUGUUCUGUUCACCUCCUAUUACUAAUCAAAAUGAGCGUGCAGUAGCUCUGUAAUUACCUUGCAUGUCAUCGUUCAGUAUAACCCUUCCCCAUGAACAUCUUGUCUCUUUGUCUUCACACACACACCUGUCAGGACACAGACUGAGAUCAGAGAGAGACUGAUCAUGUAGAGCCUGAAUAGCCCUGAUGCCCAGAACUCAGUGGUCCACAACCAAACGGAUUGAGACAAAGCCAGUCAUUGCUAUUCCACCCAAGUAUCUAACUGAUCAAGAAGACAAAGAGUCCUGCACACGGCUCUCCCUCAUGCCCUCCUCUUCUGUCGCCUGUACAUCUAACUGAACAACAACGGGGCUUAAACAAUAUGAAAAACCAAGUGUUUACUGGCAAACAUUUGCACGGAAGAUCAAUGGGUAGGUAACAACAGAUUCCAAAAGGUUUUUGCAAAAACUAUUAAAGAUUUCUGUUCUUAAAAAUCAAACCUUUGGAAUAAAAGAUACAUAUUUAAAGUUCAAGUUUCUUAGCGGUGUAUAACUCUGCCUUAGAUGCUUGUCUUAAUACAAGCCCUAAAAACGGUACAUGCUUAGUAAAACCAAACAAAUGUAAUUUUCAGUUAACAUGUACACACGAAAAGUUCCAUGAAACAUUUUCAAACCCACAGGCUUUGGGGUCACUGCAAUUUAUAAUAUGUGCUUGUACAGCCGCUCUUGCUUGUCCAACAGUAUGCUACAUUCAGCAGGUACAGAACUAACAUCCCACAUCCUUGUGGGUCACCAAAGGGUGCUAACUUCAAGUGUUCUCCACUGAGAAUAAACACACACAAGUAAGCAAAUGUAUGAACAAAGAUACAUGAAGAAAAAGUCUGAAUAAAUUGUAGUCAUUCAGUGCUACAGCAACUGAACCAUGUCUGUGUGUUCAAGAGUACAAUAUGUUUGUCAGCAAUAGAAAGUGACAGACACAUUUUCUUUCUCUUUACCCCAAAUCUGGAUAUGGGGCUGAUAUGCUUGACUCUUUGUU